This 377-nucleotide ribosomal RNA is filed under the name Grania monospermatheca. Its description in RNAcentral is "partial 12S ribosomal RNA". Lineage: Eukaryota; Metazoa; Annelida; Clitellata; Enchytraeida; Enchytraeidae. The record is from RNAcentral.
UUUAGACCUAUUAAUUACGCCGGUCAAUACAAUCUAUCGAUUAAAAUCCAAGGAAUUUGGCGGUAUCUUAUACAAUCAGGGGAACCUGUACCUUAAUUUGAUAAUCCACACACCUCAAACUACACCUCGAAUGUCAGCCUGUGUAUUGCUGUCGCCAGUGAACCUCUAAAAGCUAAGUUUGCCAUCAUAUUAACCAUAAAGACGUCAAGUCAAAAUGCAGCCAAUGGUGUAGAGGACUAUGGGUUACAAUUUGCAUAUAAACACAAAUUAUUAUAAUAAAAAUAAUAUGAAGGUGGACUUGUCAGUAAUAUUUAUAAAAAACUAAUAUAAACAGAAUCUAAGAUAUGUACACAUCGCCCGUCACUCUCAUUUGAUAA